GAUCAUGGCUCAAGAUGAACGCUGGCGGCGUGCUUAACACAUGCAAGUCGAACGGAACUCCUAUGAUUGAGGUUUCGGCCAAAAGAAUAGGACGUUUAGUGGCGGACGGGUGAGUAACGCGUGAGUAACCUGCCUUGGAGUGGGGAAUAACACAGUGAAAACUGUGCUAAUACCGCAUAAUGCAUUUGGGUCGCAUGAUUCUGAAUGCCAAAGAUUUAUCGCU
RNAcentral lists this ribosomal RNA (223 nucleotides) under uncultured bacterium. Its description in RNAcentral is "partial 16S ribosomal RNA". It matches the Rfam family "Bacterial small subunit ribosomal RNA", at positions 15 to 219 of the family's 1533-position model. The record is from RNAcentral.